RNAcentral lists this ribosomal RNA (507 nucleotides) under uncultured bacterium. RNAcentral's name for it is "partial 16S ribosomal RNA". The record is from RNAcentral.
GGAGUUAGCCGGUGCUUCUUCUGUGAGUGAUGUCCUUCCUGCCGGCUAUUAACCCGCAGGCCUUCUUCCUCACUGAAAGUGCUUUACAACCCGAAGGCCUUCUUCACACACGCGGCAUGGCUGGAUCAGGGUUGCCCCCAUUGUCCAAUAUUCCCCACUUCUGCCUCCCGUAGGAGUCUGGGCCGUGUCUCAGUCCCAGUGUGGCUGAUCAUCCUCUCAGACCAGCUACGGAUCGUCGCCUUGGUGAGCCGUUACCUCACCAACCAGCUAAUCCGACAUAGGCUCAUCCGAUAGCGCGAGGCCCGAAGGUCCCCCGCUUUCCCCCGUAGGGCGUAUGCGGUAUUAGCCUGGGUUUCCCCAGGUUAUCCCCCACUACCGGGCAGAUUCCUAUGCAUUACUCACCCGUCCGCCGCUCGCCACCAGGGAGCAAGCUCCCCGUGCUGCCGCUCGACUUGCAUGUGUUAGGCCUGCCGCCAGCGUUCAAUCUGAGCCAGGAUCAAACUCUGA